AGGAGACCUUGGAGUUGUUGGAGUUCUGUGCUGGAAGAUAUUCCUUGGUUGUCGCUCUUGAAAAUCGUGGUGCCAGCCUCAGAAGAAAGACCGAGGGUUGAAUGAAUGAUGGAGGUGUGCAGAGAUUGGGAAAUGCCCCAGCUGGGAUGAAUACAUCCCUCCUGCAUGCAUCUGGGUAUUGGCGUAAUCAAGCCCGAGUGGGAGCUGCUGGGUGCUCGAAUGCAUUUGAAACCGGUCCCAGAGGUCAUGAUCCGGGAUGUCAAGGCUUGUACGUUAUUAUUUAUCAUUACUAUUGCAGUAGUAUUUGGAGACCUCAAGGGAGAUUAGGUACUGUACAUCCACAGAGAGAUAAUUCCUCCUGCUCUUAACCGCUCGCAAUCUCAAUCGAGAACACAGAUGAAAGGACUCCUACUAUCUCUGAGUGGCAGAUGGAGAAGCUGAGGUCCAGAGAGAUUUAAGUAAAUGCCACCGACACCCCUCGGCACCGGCACACCAAACCCAAAAACGGAAGGAGACCAUGUUACUACAGCCCUCAGGAACCUAGACUAUUCUGUGCCAAGAUGCACCAGUGCUCAAGCCCCCCCGCCACCAUCUCUGCCUCUGCAUUUCCGGUGGGACCUCGAGCAAAUCUCUCGACUUCUCAGCGUGAAGGCCUCUGGCAAUGUGUACCGAGAACGCUUCCCUGAAUUGUAAAUUUACAAUAGCUGGGGAUCUGAGCCACCCUGAGCACUGCUGAAGGGUGCGAAGGUGCUUUAAUGUAAAUUAGAUUCAGGCCCAAGGUGCAGGGCAAUGGGCCUUUCAUGGGAAGCCACCGCAAGGCGUGCAGCCUCUGGGCACGCAAUGCUUUGCGCUCAUGCAUCGUGAUUUGAAAAGCACACUAGCGCUC
This is a long non-coding RNA of Chelonia mydas (Green sea turtle), 886 nucleotides long. RefSeq lists it as uncharacterized. The record is from RefSeq and is a predicted model, not a curated record. The transcript has 3 exons. NCBI's taxonomy places the organism in Eukaryota, Metazoa, Chordata, Testudines, Cheloniidae.